GUGUCAGCAGCCGCGGUAAUACGUAGGUCGCAAGCGUUGUCCGGAUUUACUGGGCGUAAAGAGCGCGCAGGCGGCUGGUCAAGUCCGAUGUGAAAUCUCCCGGCUCAACUGGGAAACUGCAUCGGAAACUGAUCGGCUUGAAGAUGGGAGAGGGUAGUGGAAUUCCCGGUGUAGUGGUGAAAUGCGUAGAUAUCGGGAGGAACACCAGUGGCGAAGGCGACUACCUGGCCCAUUCUUGACGCUGAGGCGCGAAAGCUAGGGGAGCGAACGGGAUUAGAUACCCCAGUAGUCC
Molecule: ribosomal RNA, 292 nt
Filed under: uncultured bacterium
Lineage: Bacteria
Description: partial 16S ribosomal RNA
Rfam family: Bacterial small subunit ribosomal RNA
Source: RNAcentral